Molecule: ribosomal RNA, 501 nt
Filed under: uncultured bacterium
Lineage: Bacteria
Description: bacterial SSU rRNA
Rfam family: Bacterial small subunit ribosomal RNA
Source: RNAcentral
GAUGAACGCUAGCGGCAGGCCUAAUACAUGCAAGACGAACGGUAAGUUGAGUAGCAAUACUUAGCCAAGAGUGUCGUACGGGUGCGUAACACGUAUGCAACCUACCCUAUACAGGAGGAUAGCCUAGGGAAACCUGGAUUAACCCUUCAUAGUAUUAUUGGAUGGCAUCAUUUGAUAAUUAAAACUGAGGUGGUAUAGGAUGGGCAUGCGUCUGAUUAGUUAGUUGGCGGGGUAAUGGCCCACCAAGACGAUGAUCAGUAGGGGUUCUGAGAGGAAGAUCCCCCACACUGGCACUGAGAUACGGGCCAGACUCCUACGGGAGGCAGCAGUAGGGAAUAUUGGUCAAUGGAUGCAAGUCUGAACCAGCCAUGCCGCGUGCAGGAAGAAGGCCUUCUGGGUUGUAAACUGCUUUUGCCAGGGGAUAAAAUUUCCAUGCGUGGAAAACUGGAGGUACCUGGUGAAUAAGCCACGGCUAACUACGUGCCAGCAGCCGCGGUAAUC